UCAAAAACAUUGCCUUCUGUUCUUCUAUAGAAGGUAAAACCUGCCCAGUGAUUCACGAAUUAAACGGCCGCGGUACCCUGACCGUGCUAAGGUAGCAUAUAAUAUGCCCUUUAAUUGGGGGCUAGUAUGAACGGACAAACGAGAGCUUAACUGUCUCUAAGAUACACAAUAAAAUUGCCCCUUAGGUGAAGAGGCCUAAAUUCUAUUAAAAGACAAAAAGACCCUGUAGAGCUUCAUCAACUCUUUAAGCUAAAAAAAUUAUACCUACAUUAUUUUUACUUAUAAUUUGAUUUAACUGGGGCGGUUAGGGAGCACUUACCCUCCCUAUUAAAAAAGGACACAAACCUAUACUUCUUGAUCCUAUAAAGAUUACAGAAAAAGCUACCUCAGGGAUAACAGGCUUAUAUCUCCUAAGAGCACUUAUCGAAGGAGAAGUUUGGCACCUCGAUGUUGGCUUAGGGGACCCUAAGGGUAGCAGAAGCCCUUUAUGGCAGGUUUGUUCAACCUUUAAACCCCUACGUGAUCUGAGUUCAGACCGGA
This 540-nucleotide ribosomal RNA is filed under the name Nicomache lokii. RNAcentral's name for it is "partial 16S ribosomal RNA". It matches the Rfam family "Bacterial large subunit ribosomal RNA", at positions 1807 to 2620 of the family's 2925-position model. The record is from RNAcentral. Lineage: Eukaryota; Metazoa; Annelida; Polychaeta; Maldanidae.